This 1169-nucleotide ribosomal RNA is filed under the name Escherichia coli. RNAcentral's name for it is "partial 23S ribosomal RNA". It matches the Rfam family "Bacterial large subunit ribosomal RNA", at positions 344 to 1520 of the family's 2925-position model. The record is from RNAcentral. Lineage: Bacteria; Pseudomonadati; Pseudomonadota; Gammaproteobacteria; Enterobacterales; Enterobacteriaceae.
GGAAAGGCGCGCGAUACAGGGUGACAGCCCCGUACACAAAAAUGCACAUGCUGUGAGCUCGAUGAGUAGGGCGGGACACGUGGUAUCCUGUCUGAAUAUGGGGGGACCAUCCUCCAAGGCUAAAUACUCCUGACUGACCGAUAGUGAACCAGUACCGUGAGGGAAAGGCGAAAAGAACCCCGGCGAGGGGAGUGAAAAAGAACCUGAAACCGUGUACGUACAAGCAGUGGGAGCACGCUUAGGCGUGUGACUGCGUACCUUUUGUAUAAUGGGUCAGCGACUUAUAUUCUGUAGCAAGGUUAACCGAAUAGGGGAGCCGAAGGGAAACCGAGUCUUAACUGGGCGUUAAGUUGCAGGGUAUAGACCCGAAACCCGGUGAUCUAGCCAUGGGCAGGUUGAAGGUUGGGUAACACUAACUGGAGGACCGAACCGACUAAUGUUGAAAAAUUAGCGGAUGACUUGUGGCUGGGGGUGAAAGGCCAAUCAAACCGGGAGAUAGCUGGUUCUCCCCGAAAGCUAUUUAGGUAGCGCCUCGUGAAUUCAUCUCCGGGGGUAGAGCACUGUUUCGGCAAGGGGGUCAUCCCGACUUACCAACCCGAUGCAAACUGCGAAUACCGGAGAAUGUUAUCACGGGAGACACACGGCGGGUGCUAACGUCCGUCGUGAAGAGGGAAACAACCCAGACCGCCAGCUAAGGUCCCAAAGUCAUGGUUAAGUGGGAAACGAUGUGGGAAGGCCCAGACAGCCAGGAUGUUGGCUUAGAAGCAGCCAUCAUUUAAAGAAAGCGUAAUAGCUCACUGGUCGAGUCGGCCUGCGCGGAAGAUGUAACGGGGCUAAACCAUGCACCGAAGCUGCGGCAGCGACGCUGAUGCGUUGUUGGGUAGGGGAGCGUUCUGUAAGCCUGCGAAGGUGUGCUGUGAGGCAUGCUGGAGGUAUCAGAAGUGCGAAUGCUGACAUAAGUAACGAUAAAGCGGGUGAAAAGCCCGCUCGCCGGAAGACCAAGGGUUCCUGUCCAACGUUAAUCGGGGCAGGGUGAGUCGACCCCUAAGGCGAGGCCGAAAGGCGUAGUCGAUGGGAAACAGGUUAAUAUUCCUGUACUUGGUGUUACUGCGAAGGGGGGACGGAGAAGGCUAUGUUGGCCGGGCGACGGUUGUCCCGGUUUAAGCGUG